AGGGUUGUGAGAAAAAAAGAGAGAUGUUCAGAGAGGGAGACAAACAUUGUUUGCAGUUUGUGCAGGUGCAUCGCCAUUGCCGACGAUUCCGAGUUCAUGUCCAAACUCACCUAUGCCGAGUUCUCUCUUUAUUUAUUUUUAUUUUCUGUUAACUCAUUUUUAGCCAAGUAUUACGGAUUAAAUCAUGUUUAGUUCUCUUCUUUUUCUUUUUAGUAUUUCAUCAUUCAUUUUUACUGAUAUUAUAUUAUAGGUUUUUCAUUAUUAUAUGAUAACAUAUACAUGGAUUAUAAUGAUGGAUUUGGGCAGCUUGGACAUUGGACAUGAACGCGGCAUCGUGGGCAAUAGCGAUACACAUGCUUCGCGUAUGCCUUGAAUCGCAAAGUUUAUUCUGUCUUAAAAAUCCUAGGACCCCUCA
This 415-nucleotide long non-coding RNA is filed under the name Vigna radiata. RNAcentral describes it as "long non-coding RNA (VRAD_LNC017433)". Lineage: Eukaryota; Viridiplantae; Streptophyta; Magnoliopsida; Fabales; Fabaceae. The record is from RNAcentral.